CUGUUGUUGGUACCAGUUGGGUGUGUAGAAGAUAUAUGUCAAAUGUUACAAAGACCUCAUUUUCAUACGAUCGUUGAUUAAGAUAUAUUUUUCAGAAGAGAGAAAUAAAUGUGAAAAAAAAAAAAAAAAAAAAAAGCAUCCAAACUAGUUCUCGAAGUUUUGUUUAAAAAAGACAAUUCUCGUACAGAUUGCAGCAGUAGAGAUUGACUGUACCCUCUUUUGAAUUUAAUUAAAACAAUACAAAAUACAUUUUUCCUGAAUGUAUUACAUGAGAUAAUUGCUUGAUUAGACCAAUCUUUGUUAAUCGUCAAAGUAUACAUUUAUAUCAUCGGUUCUUUUGAGUGGAAUUAAUUGUUGUGGGGCAUCUUUAAGUUGUGAAUUUGUGUAAUUAGAC
Non-coding RNA from Schizosaccharomyces pombe (fission yeast), 394 nucleotides. Lineage: Eukaryota; Fungi; Ascomycota; Schizosaccharomycetes; Schizosaccharomycetales; Schizosaccharomycetaceae. The record is from the annotation of a GenBank genome assembly.